Molecule: ribosomal RNA, 938 nt
Filed under: Salmonella enterica
Lineage: Bacteria; Pseudomonadati; Pseudomonadota; Gammaproteobacteria; Enterobacterales; Enterobacteriaceae
Also listed under: 1 other name
Description: partial 23S ribosomal RNA
Rfam family: Bacterial large subunit ribosomal RNA
Source: RNAcentral
UAAUGGGUCAGCGACUUAUAUUCUGUAGCAAGGUUAACCGUAUAGGGGAGCCGAAGGGAAACCGAGUCUUAACUGGGCGUUAAGUUGCAGGGUAUAGACCCGAAACCCGGUGAUCUAGCCAUGGGCAGGUUGAAGGUUGGGUAACACUAACUGGAGGACCGAACCGACUAAUGUUGAAAAAUUAGCGGAUGACUUGUGGCUGGGGGUGAAAGGCCAAUCAAACCGGGAGAUAGCUGGUUCUCCCCGAAAGCUAUUUAGGUAGCGCCUCGUGAACUCAUCUUCGGGGGUAGAGCACUGUUUCGGCUAGGGGGUCAUCCCGACUUACCAACCCGAUGCAAACUGCGAAUACCGAAGAAUGUUAUCACGGGAGACACACGGCGGGUGCUAACGUCCGUCGUGAAGAGGGAAACAACCCAGACCGCCAGCUAAGGUCCCAAAGUCACAGUUAAGUGGGAAACGAUGUGGGAAGGCUCAGACAGCCAGGAUGUUGGCUUAGAAGCAGCCAUCAUUUAAAGAAAGCGUAAUAGCUCACUGGUCGAGUCGGCCUGCGCGGAAGAUGUAACGGGGCUAAACUGUGCACCGAAGCUGCGGCAGCGACGCUUAUGCGUUGUUGGGUAGGGGAGCGUUCUGUAAGCCUGCGAAGGUGUCCUGUGAGGGAUGCUGGAGGUAUCAGAAGUGCGAAUGCUGACAUAAGUAACGAUAAUGCGGGUGAAAAGCCCGCUCGCCGGAAGACCAAGGGUUCCUGUCCAACGUUAAUCGGGGCAGGGUGAGUCGACCCCUAAGGCGAGGCCGAAAGGCGUAGUCGAUGGGAAACGGGUUAAUAUUCCCGUACUUGGUGUUACUGCGAAGGGGGGACGGAGAAGGCUAUGUUGGCCGGGCGACGGUUGUCCCGGUUUAAGCGUGUAGGCUGGUUUUCCAGGCAAAUCCGGAAAAUCAAG